CUAGGGGCGCGUUUGAGGGAGCCUUCCAGCUCUUAGUCGGCGCAGCUAACGCAUUAAGUCCCACCCGCCUGGGGAGUACGGCCGCAAGGUUAAAACUCAAAUGAAUUGACGGGGCCCCGCCCAAGCGGGGGAGCAUGGGUUUUUUUUCGAAGCAACGCAAAAAACCUUACCACGCCUUGACAUCCAAUGAACUUUCUAAAGAUAGAUUGGUGCCUUCGGGAACAUUGAGACAGGUGCUGCAUGGCUGUCCUCCUCUCGUGUCGAGAUAUGGUGGUUUAACUCCCGAAAAGAGCGCAACCCUUGCCCUUUGCUACCAGCACGUUAUGGUGUCCACUCUAACGACACUGCCCGAGACAAACCGGAGAAAGGAGGGGAUGACUUGAGUCAUCAUGGUCCUUACGGCUUGGGCUACACUCGUGCUACAAUGGUCGCUACAUGGGGUUGCCAAGCCGCGAGGUGGAACUAAUCCCAUAAAACCGAUCGUAAUCCGGAUCGCACUCUGCAACUCGACUGCGUGAAUUCGGAAUCGCUAGUAAUCGCGAAUCAGAAUGCCUCGGUGAAUACGUUCCCGGUCCUUGUACACACCGCCCGUCACAC
Molecule: ribosomal RNA, 597 nt
Filed under: Pseudomonas sp.
Lineage: Bacteria; Pseudomonadati; Pseudomonadota; Gammaproteobacteria; Pseudomonadales; Pseudomonadaceae
Description: bacterial SSU rRNA
Rfam family: Bacterial small subunit ribosomal RNA
Source: RNAcentral